GGUACCACACUCCAAGGAUGCUCCAAAACCAGUGAAGGUACUCUCGCUCUUUCUCUCUAGAAUUGUGUUAAUAUCCGUAGCUGCAUGCAUACAAGGUUCAUGCUUUGAUGUUUAUGGCAGGAGAUCGGACGAUUUCCUGCACUCUUGAUGGAGACCUAUAAACUGGUGUCUCGAUUCUGCAAAAAAGAAGAUGUCUUUGGGAAGUUCUUGAAAUUUUUUAAGUGAUGAAAACGAAUCGAAGCUAUGUUCAAGGAAUUUUCAGCUCAAGAUCGGCAUGGCUGAUCCAUGCCUUGUGCCUUUCAAAGAGGUCUCUGAAUGCUUCUACAAACUUGCCGUGCACCUCUUUGACCUGCCAAAUGGAAUUUGAGAUCAUAAGUAGCAGUAUAAACCACAUGGUAGGUUUUAGAAUAAU
Rhodamnia argentea is the source of this 412-nucleotide long non-coding RNA. RefSeq lists it as uncharacterized. NCBI's taxonomy places the organism in Eukaryota, Viridiplantae, Streptophyta, Magnoliopsida, Myrtales, Myrtaceae. The transcript has 4 exons. The record is from RefSeq and is a predicted model, not a curated record.